Saccostrea echinata is the source of this 245-nucleotide long non-coding RNA. RefSeq lists it as uncharacterized. Lineage: Eukaryota; Metazoa; Mollusca; Bivalvia; Ostreida; Ostreidae. The transcript is spliced from 3 exons. The record is from RefSeq and is a predicted model, not a curated record.
CAUCAUUGUAGAUAUCAGGUGCUGCAUGCAUAUAACCCAGAGUUGCAUUGUAUCUACAGAAAACAUAUGCGACAAUUUCUAAACAUGUAGCUGUUCACAAACAAUUUGAACCAUUCCAGUGUUGACACAGGCAGCAAGUGUAUGGACCAAGUAAAAAGAAUGGACUUUAUCCCAGAGUACAUGUCUUGAUGGAAAAACUAUGCAUCUGCUCAGAAUUACCCUCACAGCCUGGCUUUGUAUGGGAG